Molecule: long non-coding RNA, 1519 nt
Organism: Lynx canadensis (Canada lynx)
Lineage: Eukaryota; Metazoa; Chordata; Mammalia; Carnivora; Felidae
Exons: 3
Source: RefSeq, a predicted model, not a curated record
AGUCGAACUUAACUGAACUUAACUGACUGAGCCACCCAGGCAGCCCAGCUUCUCUCAAAAGCAAAACCUGAGACAAAGGCUUUUGUGAUGGCAGGGAGAUGAUGGCAGGGAGCAGGGGUAAGGACUGAGGGAGUGAAUCGGGGAAAGAGGGACAGCUAACAGAAGGAUGCAUUACUGACCUGCUGGCACCUCCCGAGGGGCUUAUGAACUACAUCUCAGGACUGUCUGCUGGGGGACAAAGAGGGAAACAUUUUUCUAUCCACAAGCUCCCUCCUCCCCUAUCAAAACAAUAUGACAAUAAAUAUAUUUUCCAGUCAGCGUAUGUGUAUGUGGUAUACACAGUCCAUAACCACAUCAUCAUACAGAUGAACCACACUUACGUAUUCUAUUAAUGGAUAUUUACACUGGUUUUAUAUCAAGUUGUCAUAAACAUUGAAAGGGGCUCCCCCCCCCGCCCCGCUCUGGUCCCAGAACCAAGGAACUUUCAUCCCAUUUCAGGACUUUGGCACAUUGAAAAAAUAUAGCAAUAUUUCAUCUUGCCAAAACAUAACUAAUUCACACUAACCUAUUCAGAGCAAAAAUAGAAAAGAGGUAAAAAUAGCUUCUAAGUAGCCAAAUAGGUGUCAAAGAGUCACAAAUUCCAGCUGGAAUGGGCAGUCGUGUGUGCGAUGUCACUCCGGCUUGGGCUGAAAUCUCACGUACUUGUAAGAGACAGCUUUGUUAGCCUGUCCAAUCUCACUUUGCUUACAGUUCUAACUAGCUUGGUAUCCUAGUCACUAUUUCCACAAAUGACAAGGGGAAGGAAGCCACUCAAGGAAGCCACACUGCCAGCUCAAACCAGAAGGGGACCACAGACGGCAACAAAAACAACACAGCAGAAACAACAACCCAAAACCUUUUUUUUUUUUAAUGUCCCAAACAUGCAAAAGAAUACUGGUAUUUUACCGACUCUGUGGAACAGGAAAAGAACGGAGGUUCACAGCCAGAAAGAAUUGUCGCAAUCACGUUCGGAGUGCUCUUUCCAAGGCGUGGAAAUGAAGGAUUUGUUUUUUACUGUUGUAUCUUUUCACGCAGUAUUGAUUCAGUACCAUUGUUCUUGUUGCGCAAUAUUUUGGAGAGAUUUCCCAAUAUGUAGGUUUCGAAUGAUGAAAACGUUGAUUCUAAAAUCUCUAGGGAACAUCACUGUCCAAACAACUGGUUUCCAUGGAGUUUUAGCCGAGAAGUUUCAUCCAGCAAAUUGGUUGGGUAACCACAGAGAAUGAUUUCUCUGCCUCUCUGCACGAGGGGGUGAUGCUGACCAGACUUCGCCUGUAAACCAGGGCGGUGGUGCUCCAUUUCGUGAGUACGCAGGGACAGUCACCGGCCAUCCUUGCACAGUGAUGGGUUAAGUCAGCCACGAAGGUUUUCAAAGGUUAUUAGGGCUGGGCGGUGAGCAGAAGACUAUUUGAACAUCGGAAAGAGCACGCUGAUUCCUUUAGCAAUACUUUUGAACAGUCUUUUAAUGGCCUCCUUAGAAGUU